RNAcentral lists this ribosomal RNA (490 nucleotides) under uncultured bacterium. RNAcentral describes it as "partial 16S ribosomal RNA". It matches the Rfam family "Bacterial small subunit ribosomal RNA", at positions 30 to 507 of the family's 1533-position model. The record is from RNAcentral.
AUUGAACGCUGGCGGCAGGCCUAACACAUGCAAGUCGAACGGUAACAGGAAGCAGCUUGCUGCUUUGCUGACGAGUGGCGGACGGGUGAGUAAUGUCUGGGAAACUGCCUGAUGGAGGGGGAUAACUACUGGAAACGGUAGCUAAUACCGCAUAACGUCGCAAGACCAUAGAGGGGGACCUUCGGGCCUCUUGCCAUCGGAUGUGCCCAGAUGGGAUUAGCUAGUAGGUGGGGUAACGGCUCACCUAGGCGACGAUCCCUAACUGGUCUGAGAGGAUGACCAGCCACACUGGAACUGAGACACGGUCCAGACUCCUACGGGAGGCAGCAGUGGGGAAUAUUGCACAAUGGGCGCAAGCCUGAUGCAGCCAUGCCGCGUGUAUGAAGAAGGCCUUCGGGUUGUAAAGUACUUUCAGCGGGGAGGAAGGGAGUAAAGUUAAUACCUUUGCUCAUUGACGUUACCCGCAGAAGAAGCACCGGCUAACUCCGUG